GAACAAGUAAUGAUGAGGACAAGGGUAUUCUAUUUACGGUUUACAGAGAGGAAAGUCAUGGCUGCAAGCUUUCUAACACGACUAGAUUACUUACCACCUCUGAACUUCAACUGCGAACUUUAGUAGUAGUUGGCGGAUACGUUCCGUUAUCAAUCACUAAGUCAUAUCUUAUGCAAGAUAUGAAAAUUAGGGUGGAACCACGUGUAUUCAACUCGUCCCUUUC
Molecule: non-coding RNA, 223 nt
Filed under: Heyndrickxia ginsengihumi
Lineage: Bacteria; Bacillati; Bacillota; Bacilli; Caryophanales; Bacillaceae
Description: Bacillus ginsengihumi T-box sequence
Rfam family: T-box leader
About the family: Uncharged tRNA acts as the effector for transcription antitermination of genes in the T-box leader family. T-boxes are found upstream of many aminoacyl-tRNA synthetase genes and some amino acid biosynthetic genes usually in Gram-positive bacteria.
Source: RNAcentral